This 304-nucleotide ribosomal RNA is filed under the name uncultured bacterium. Its description in RNAcentral is "partial 16S ribosomal RNA". It matches the Rfam family "Bacterial small subunit ribosomal RNA", at positions 509 to 807 of the family's 1533-position model. The record is from RNAcentral.
CAGCAGUCGCCGCGGUAAUACGGAGGGUGCAAGCGUUAUCCGGAUUUAUUGGGUUUAAAGGGUCCGUAGGCGGACUUAUAAGUCAGUGGUGAAAGCCUGUCGCUUAACGAUAGAACUGCCAUUGAUACUGUAAGUCUUGAGUAUAUUUGAGGUAGCUGGAAUAAGUAGUGUAGCGGUGAAAUGCAUAGAUAUUACUUAGAACACCAAUUGCGAAGGCAGGUUACCAAGAUAUAACUGACGCUGAGGGACGAAAGCGUGGGUAGCGAACAGGAUUAGAUACCCGCGUAGUCCCUGUCUCUUAUAC